Molecule: ribosomal RNA, 1157 nt
Filed under: Salmonella enterica
Lineage: Bacteria; Pseudomonadati; Pseudomonadota; Gammaproteobacteria; Enterobacterales; Enterobacteriaceae
Description: partial 23S ribosomal RNA
Rfam family: Bacterial large subunit ribosomal RNA
Source: RNAcentral
GGGUUGUGAGGUUAAGCGACUAAGCGUACACGGUGGAUGCCCUGGCAGUCAGAGGCGAUGAAGGGCGUGCUAAUCUGCGAUAAGCGCCGGUAAGGUGAUAUGAACCGUUAUAACCGGCGAUACCCGAAUGGGGAAACCCAGUGUGACUCGUCACACUAUCAUUAACUGAAUCCAUAGGUUAAUGAGGCGAACCGGGGGAACUGAAACAUCUAAGUACCCCGAGGAAAAGAAAUCAACCGAGAUUCCCCCAGUAGCGGCGAGCGAACGGGGAGGAGCCCAGAGCCUGAAUCAGCAUGUGUGUUAGUGGAAGCGUCUGGAAAGGCGCGCGAUACAGGGUGACAGCCCCGUACACAAAAGCGCAUGUGCUGUGAGCUCGAUGAGUAGGGCGGGACACGUGAUAUCCUGUCUGAAUAUGGGGGGACCAUCCUCCAAGGCUAAAUACUCCUGACUGACCGAUAGUGAACCAGUACCGUGAGGGAAAGGCGAAAAGAACCCCGGCGAGGGGAGUGAAAAAGAACCUGAAACCGUGUACGUACAAGCAGUGGGAGCACCCUUUUGGGUGUGACUGCGUACCUUUUGUAUAAUGGGUCAGCGACUUAUAUUCUGUAGCAAGGUUAACCGAAUAGGGGAGCCGGAGGGAAACCGAGUCUUAACCGGGCGUUAAGUUGCAGGGUAUAGACCCGAAACCCGGUGAUCUAGCCAUGGGCAGGUUGAAGGUUGGGUAACACUAACUGGAGGACCGAACCGACUAAUGUUGAAAAAUUAGCGGAUGACCUGUGGCUGGGGGUGAAAGGCCAAUCAAACCGGGAGAUAGCUGGUUCUCCCCGAAAGCUAUUUAGGUAGCGCCUCGUGAAUUCAUCUCCGGGGGUAGAGCACUGUUUCGGCUAGGGGGCCAUCCCGGCUUACCAACCCGAUGCAAACUGCGAAUACCGGAGAAUGUUAUCACGGGAGACACACGGCGGGUGCUAACGUCCGUCGUGAAGAGGGAAACAACCCAGACCGCCAGCUAAGGUCCCAAAGUCAUGGUUAAGUGGGAAACGAUGUGGGAAGGCCCAGACAGCCAGGAUGUUGGCUUAGAAGCAGCCAUCAUUUAAAGAAAGCGUAAUAGCUCACUGGUCGAGUCGGCCUGCGCGGAAGAUGUAACGGGGCUAAACCAU